UUUUUUGCUUUUAUUCUUCAUUUUCAGCUCAAAUCCAUUUCUCUCUCCCUCUUUCCUUUUCUCCUCUCUUUCUCCAUGGAUUCCGAUUUCUGGACCUCUCGUCUUGCAGCUGCUAAACGUCAGUUAAAUUUACAGCAAAACCAUUCCUACAAUCAUCAAACUUCUCAACUCGAUAGGCUGAGCAUCGAUGAUUUCGAGGUUGAAGAAGAGGUCCGACCCGAUUUUCCAUGCCCGUAUUGUUAUGAGGAUUUUGAUAUUGCCUCUCUUUGUUCGCAUCUAGAAGAGGAACAUUCUUGCGAGUCCAGAGUAACUGUCUGUCCCAUUUGUUCUCAUAAAGUUUCAAGGGACAUGCUAAGUCAUAUUACAGUGCAACAUGGACACUUACUGAGGGUGCAGCGACGCCGUAGAUUACGUAAAGUUGCAAUUCCUAGCAGCCAGGCGCUUUCUCUACUUGGUAGAGAUCUUCGUGAAGCUCAUUUGCAGGUACUUUUAGGAGGCAGUGGAUAUCGAUCAAGCACUGCAACAUCAACCACUGCAGCGGCAGCCAAUGACCCCUUCCUCUCAUCUCUAGUUUUGAACUACCCCACAUUUGAAGCAGAGGAAAUUUCAAAAUCUGUUUUAUCCAGUGUUGAGGACUCUACUACGAAGAAUGUGACAUCACAACAUAUAUGGAAGUUAAGUUUUGACCCUUCACUAAGUGUGGAAGAGAGGGAAAAGAGGAUAAGCCAGGCUACUGGAAGAGCUGUUUUUGUGCAAGAUCUGUUUGCCUCUUCUCUGUUAGCUGACUAAUUGGAGGAGUAAGUGUUGCAAUACAAGAUAAUAAUUUGAGUUGAAAAUUCACAUAGUGAUGCAUAAUCAUCCAUCUCUUCAAUCAGAGAUCUGGUCCCUGAGAAAGAUUACUACCUAGUUUGUUUUUCCCUUUAAUGAUAUUUGUGAUGUUGUAAUUUGUAAUCUAGGUACUGCAGAAAAGUAGUUUGUCAUGGCAAGAAGGAUUUUAAUCAGGACAGCAACACUAGAUGUGUACCAGCAGUGUUGCACCAUUUGUUUUAAUUAUUUUUCCUUUAUAGUUUUCCUCCUACUCUCACUGUUUUAUUCUCUUGUGAUACGAAGGAGAAAAAGAAAGUUUAUUUCUCUAAUAUUUGUUGA
Solanum pennellii is the source of this 1146-nucleotide RNA transcript. It is a transcript of the gene named protein DEHYDRATION-INDUCED 19-like, with no coding region annotated. The record is from RefSeq and is a predicted model, not a curated record. Lineage: Eukaryota; Viridiplantae; Streptophyta; Magnoliopsida; Solanales; Solanaceae. The transcript has 6 exons.